Molecule: ribosomal RNA, 516 nt
Filed under: bacterium enrichment culture clone ALO1_GLFRUDD03GAP4C
Lineage: Bacteria
Description: bacterial SSU rRNA
Rfam family: Bacterial small subunit ribosomal RNA
Source: RNAcentral
GAGUUUGAUCCUGGCUCAGAUUGAACGCUGGCGGCAGGCCUAACACAUGCAAGUCGAGCGGAUGACGGGAGCUUGCUCCUUGAUUCAGCGGCGGACGGGUGAGUAAUGCCUAGGAAUCUGCCUGGUAGUGGGGGACAACGUUUCGAAAGGAACGCUAAUACCGCAUACGUCCUACGGGAGAAAGCAGGGGACCUUCGGGCCUUGCGUUAUCAGAUGAGCCUAGGUCGGAUUAGCUAGUUGGUGGGGUAAUGGCCCACCAAGGCGACGAUCCGUAACUGGUCUGAGAGGAUGAUCAGUCACACUGGAACUGAGACACGGUCCAGACUCCUACGGGAGGCAGCAGUGGGGAAUAUUGGACAAUGGGCGAAAGCCUGAUCCAGCCAUGCCGCGUGUGUGAAGAAGGUCUUCGGAUUGUAAAGCACUUUAAGUUGGGAGGAAGGGCAGUAAGUUAAUACCUUGCUGUUUUGACGUUACCGACAGAAUAAGCACCGGCUAACUCUGUGCCAGCAGCCGCCG